AACGAACGCUGGCGGCAUGCCUAACACAUGCCAGUCGAACGAGACCUUCGGGUCUAGUGGCGCACGGGUGCGGAACGCGGGGGAAGCUGCCCGUCGGCUGGGAAUAACUGAGAGAAAUUUCAGCUAAUACCUUAUAAUGUCUUCGGACCAAAGAUUUAUCGCCGAGGGAUGAGCCCGCGUAGCAUAAGGUGGUUGGUGGGGUAAUGGCCUACCAAGCCGACGAUCCUUAGCUGGUCUGAGAGGCUGAUCAGCCACACUGAGGCUGAGACGCGGCCCAGACUCCUACGGGAGGCAGCAGUGCGGAAUAUUGGACUAUCGGCGAAAGCCUGAUCCAGCAAUGCCGCGUGAGUGAUGAAGGCCUUAGGGUUGUAAAGCUCUUUUACCCGGGAUGGUAAUGACGGUACCGGGAGAAUAAGCACCGGCUAACUCCGUG
This 433-nucleotide ribosomal RNA is filed under the name uncultured bacterium. Its description in RNAcentral is "partial 16S ribosomal RNA". It matches the Rfam family "Bacterial small subunit ribosomal RNA", at positions 29 to 507 of the family's 1533-position model. The record is from RNAcentral.